RNAcentral lists this ribosomal RNA (389 nucleotides) under uncultured archaeon. Its description in RNAcentral is "partial 16S ribosomal RNA". It matches the Rfam family "Archaeal small subunit ribosomal RNA", at positions 330 to 721 of the family's 1478-position model. The record is from RNAcentral.
GUGCAGCAGUCGCGAAAACUCCACAAUGUGGGAAACCACGAUGAGGGAACUCCAAGUGCUUGCGCUUUGCGUCAGCUGUUCUUUUGUCUAAAAAACAAAAGAAGUAAGGGCCGGGUAAGACGGGUGCCAGCCGCCGCGGUAAUACCCGCGGCCCAAGUGGUGCUCAUUAUUAUUGAGCCUAAAACAUCCGUAGCCGGUUAGAUAAAUCCCUGGGUAAAUCAGGCAGCUUAACUGUCCGAAUUCCGGAGACACUAUCUAGCUAGGGAUUGGGUGAGGCAGUGGGUAUUCCUGAAACAAAAGUAAAAUCCUGUAAUCCUGGAAAAACCACCAAUGGCGAAGGCGCACUACUAGAACAAAUCCGACGGUAAAAAAUAAAGCCAUAGGGCGCA